AGGGUUGUGGCUCAGUGGUAGAGUGCUCAUCUCACAUGUGUGAGGCACUAGGUUCGAUCCUCAUCUCUA
RNAcentral lists this transfer RNA (69 nucleotides) under Marmota marmota marmota (Alpine marmot). It matches the Rfam family "tRNA". Rfam says of the family: Transfer RNA (tRNA) molecules are approximately 80 nucleotides in length. Their secondary structure includes four short double-helical elements and three loops (D, anti-codon, and T loops). Lineage: Eukaryota; Metazoa; Chordata; Mammalia; Rodentia; Sciuridae. The record is from Rfam by way of RNAcentral. RNAcentral also lists the same sequence under 1 other name.